CCUACGGGGGGCUGCAGUGGGGAAUAUUGGACAAUGGAGGCAACCCUGAUCCAGCCAUGCCGCGUGUGUGAAGAAGGCCCUCGGGUUGUAAAGCACUUUCAGUGAGGAAGAACGCCUGGUGGUUAAUACCCAUCAGGAAAGACAUCACUCACAGAAGAAGCACCGGCUAACUCCGUGCCAGCAGCCGCGGUAAUACGGAGGGUGCGAGCGUUAAUCGGAAUUACUGGGCGUAAAGCGCGCGUAGGUGGCUUGAUAAGCCGGUUGUGAAAGCCCCGGGCUCAACCUGGGAACGGCAUCCGGAACUGUCAAGCUAGAGUGCAGGAGAGGAAGGUAGAAUUCCCGGUGUAGCGGUGAAAUGCGUAGAGAUCGGGAGGAAUACCAGUGGCGAAGGCGGCCUUCUGGACUGACACUGACACUGAGGUGCGAAAGCGUGGGUAGCAAACAGGAUUAGAUACCCUGGUAGUC
This 465-nucleotide ribosomal RNA is filed under the name Vreelandella stevensii. Its description in RNAcentral is "partial 16S ribosomal RNA". It matches the Rfam family "Bacterial small subunit ribosomal RNA", at positions 338 to 795 of the family's 1533-position model. Lineage: Bacteria; Pseudomonadati; Pseudomonadota; Gammaproteobacteria; Oceanospirillales; Halomonadaceae. The record is from RNAcentral.